GCGUUGUUCGGAAUUACUGGGCGUAAAGGGCGCGUAGGCGGCCUGUUAAGUCGAACGUGAAAUCCCUGGGCUCAACCCAGGAACUGCGUCCGAUACUGGCAGGCUUGAAUCCGGGAGAGGGAUGCGGAAUUCCAGGUGUAGCGGUGAAAUGCGUAGAUAUCUGGAGGAACACCGGUGGCGAAGGCGGCAUCCUGGACCGGCAUUGACGCUGAGGCGCGAAAGCCAGGGGAGCAAACGGG
Molecule: ribosomal RNA, 239 nt
Filed under: uncultured bacterium
Lineage: Bacteria
Description: partial 16S ribosomal RNA
Rfam family: Bacterial small subunit ribosomal RNA
Source: RNAcentral